UUGUGUUGUUAGCUUACGUGAAAUUCCUGGAGUGGAACAUUAUCACGUGUAGGGUGGUAAAGCAUGGUUGUUCUUAGUUGGUGAAGCUAUUUGUCUGGUUAAUUCCGUUAACUAACGAUACCUCACCCUGUCAACUAGCUAUGUGGAGCCUGGAGGUAGUCCGUCGCAUCUAGCUUCUUAGAGGGACUAUGGCCUUUUAGGUCACGCAAGUUUGAGGCAGGUGCAGGUCCGUGAUUCCCUUAGAUCAUUUAGGCGCGCCGCACGAGCUCUACACUGAUGUAUUCAACAAGUCCAUAACAUUGAUCGAUAGGCACGGGUACUCAUUGAAAUUUCAUCGUGAUAGGGAUAGAUCAUUACAAUUGUUGGUCUUCAACGAGGAA
Non-coding RNA from Beta vulgaris subsp. vulgaris (sugar beet), 380 nucleotides. The record is from Rfam. Lineage: Eukaryota; Viridiplantae; Streptophyta; Magnoliopsida; Caryophyllales; Amaranthaceae.